GGCCGUAGCGCGGUGGUCCCACCUGACCCCAUGCCGAACUCAGAAGUGAAACGCCGUAGCGCCGAUGGUAGUGUGGGGUCUCCCCAUGUGAGAGUAGGGAACCGCCAGGU
This 110-nucleotide ribosomal RNA is filed under the name Morganella morganii. The record is from RNAcentral. Lineage: Bacteria; Pseudomonadati; Pseudomonadota; Gammaproteobacteria; Enterobacterales; Morganellaceae. RNAcentral also lists the same sequence under 1 other name.